Molecule: ribosomal RNA, 441 nt
Filed under: uncultured bacterium
Lineage: Bacteria
Description: bacterial SSU rRNA
Rfam family: Bacterial small subunit ribosomal RNA
Source: RNAcentral
CUACGGGAGGCAGCAGUGGGGAAUAUUGGACAAUGGGCGCAAGCCUGAUCCAGCAAUGCCGCGUGUGUGAAGAAGGUCUUCGGAUUGUAAAGCACUUUCGGCGGGGACGAUGAUGACGGUACCCGCAGAAGAAGCCCCGGCUAACUUCGUGCCAGCAGCCGCGGUAAUACGAAGGGGGCUAGCGUUGCUCGGAAUGACUGGGCGUAAAGGGCGCGUAGGCGGGUUGUUUAGUUAGGUGUGAAAUUCCUGGGCUUAACCUGGGGACUGCACUUAAUACAGGCAGCCUAGAGUGAGGAAGAGGGUUGUGGAAUUCCCAGUGUAGAGGUGAAAUUCGUAGAUAUUAGGAAGAACACCGGUGGCGAAGGCGGCAACCUGGUCCUUGACUGACGCUGAGGCGCGAAAGCGUGGGGAGCAAACAGGAUUAGAUACCCGCGUAGUCCG